RNAcentral lists this long non-coding RNA (13437 nucleotides) under Marmota monax (woodchuck). Lineage: Eukaryota; Metazoa; Chordata; Mammalia; Rodentia; Sciuridae. The record is from RNAcentral.
UACAGGGAAAAGCCAGUUAAGAUGAGAUGACCAGGAAAUGCGCCUUAAACGCAGGUAAGGUUUUACGCAGAUUUAAAUUAAUACCCUCCGCAUUUAGUCACCCCUCUCCCUGUCCACAGAGGUUUUGGAGAGGGAGACACCUUCACAAAUGGAAAUUUUCUUUCCUUGUGUCAGUUUCUCUUACAGAUGGGCAAUUUUCGGUACUACUGUGUCUGCAGUCUCUCAGGAAAACCACUUCAAAAUAAUUAAUAUACUACAGAGGCAGAGUAAGGGUGGCAUGUUCUGGUGCAUUGCGGGGUGGCCAGCACCCUGCCAAGGUAGAUUUCUGCUCAGAGGCUAUGAGCUGCCUGAGAAAUUGAAAGUCUGAAAUUAUUAAUGAAGAAUAAGAGUCAGAGCCAGAAAUUAGACCAGGGAACUGAACAACCCAAAAUGGCUCUGGUUCUUUAUUUAAGGGGGAGUUCAUCAAAGGCAAGGAUAAGGCUUCAGAGGAAGAGUUUAGGUGCUUGCUUCUCCUUGUGUCAGGGGUCUUGCAGCAAAGAGGUUGAUUGGCGUCUCAGCAAGCCACAUCCAUCUGCAAAAGGCUGUGUGACUGUGGUUCCAGCGGGUCCCCCCAUCUCAGGUGCAGUGCUGAACUUAGAGGGAACUAAGUAGGAAGUCACAUGGAUUGGGCAUUCUCAAACCUGCAGGGUUGCCCUGGGAGUUCCUGACAUCAGACAGUCCUACCUAAUGGCUUCCUGGACGAUUUCAGUUCACACAGAGUUCAUGGUUGAUUCCCGGCACUGUUGUGUCCUGUAGUCAUACUUUGGGGUGAUAUGUUUGUUGAGUCCUAUCAUAACAUCCAAUUCUUUAUUCAUUAUGGAACUCAUCAUAUUAGGUCACAAGUGUUUUGAAUUUGCUACUAGAUUUUGAGAAUCUCAAGAACAGAUACUAUGGCUUAUUCAACUUUUUGUUUCUCAGGAAUGUUAACCUAAGUGUUAAGAUGCUAAGUAUUUAAACAUCAGCAACAUUAUCUUUCACCGCUAAUGUUUGCUUAUUUCAUUUUUUUUCUUUUGAACUUAAAGUGGUAAUAUACUGUAAUAAUGAAGCUGAUGUAGGCUAUAAUCUAAGUUUUGUUAAUGGUCCUACUGCUCAGAAAACCAUACUUCAAAGGCUAUGGCUUUGGCAUUCCAAGAGCUUUGAGCUAUACCAGAACCAAGGUCUUCUUGACCGGCCCCUACCCUCCGUUCUCUCACCCUUUUCCCCCAAAGUACAGGAAGGAGUUUUCUUUAAAUGCUCCUCAUCUGACUAAAUACCACUCAUCUCUUCACCCUCCCAUAACCAGUCACCACCUGCUUCUUCCAGAAACCUCAAACCCGUAUUCUUUUCUAUAGCUUAUGAUACUAGAUGAACUUAACCAUCUGGAUUUUCUUUGAAUCUUCUAUUUUGUCCGACUCCCACAUAUACGCAUAUAAUAAACUUGUAUGUCUUUUCUCCAAUUAAUCUGUCUACUGUUUGUUCCAGAGAUGAAAAUGAUCCAAAUUUCAGAGAAUAGGUUUAACUUCUCUACAGCUCCUUUUCCAAUGCUGCUGAUAUGGAACUGAAAAAUCCUAUGGGAGACCAGAAAGUAUAUCUUCAUUUUUGAAAUGAAUUAUCUUUUGAUAUCAUUUUCACAUUUUUCCACACCAAAAUAUGAGAGUAAGAGAACAGAGUAGGUCACCCCAAAAUAGGCCCCUUUGGCAUAAAGAUUAUUUUUGAGAAAUUGCAGAUAAGGAGAAAUUCUGAAAAUAGAGGAGAACCUGUCAUUUUAUAAGGAAGAUUUACCUCUAUAGAGGACAUCUCCAAUUGUAAGAGUAUCUCUCUCUUUGUGCCAGGACAGAAGGAGGAGUGUGAAUCAUGUGAAGACACUGAUUGAAAUCUGCAAAACCAGCCUUACUCUUGUUUACUGUAAUUUCUCUGUUCACCUCUCUAUUACUGGUCCCUCAAACCCUUCUGGUUUUGUUUCAGUGAGGUGGCUCAGCAUGUCCCUGGGCAUCUUCCAUGUAUAUAUGAGCAAUACAUGCCAAUGAACUUCUUGCUUUCCUCUGACUAACUUAUCUUUUGUUAUAUCUUGACAAAGAACUCAGAAAAAGUAGAGAGAAAAAAAUGUAUUUUCCUCCUAUGUACAAAGCAGAAAUUAUUUAGCAGAUUGGUUUUUAUUUGAAAUACAAUUUCUUAAAUCUCAGCAAGAAAAGUCUGUGUGUCCUCAUGUAUGUGUCUUCAGAAGCAUGGAGUACUCAUAGAGGCAAGCUCACAUGACCCUUUAAGGGUCUAAGUUUCUUUUUUAAUCUACAAAAUAAAUAAGUGCCAGAGCAAAGCCUCCUAGAACAUACUGAAGAUUUUGUGUCAAGAUCACUAAUACGUGAAAGCUAUUUAGAAAUAAUAGCUUUGGAGUAAAUCAAUGGAAAAUUGGAGGAAAUAAGCAUCCCUACCCUUCAAAAAUCCAACAAUGGUCAGCAUUGCUUCUGUGUUUUCUUUUUAACAUUUCAUGCAUACAACGUUUAGGAUAAUGUUUAAUAAGGAAAAAAAAGUAAGACUUUAGUUUUCUAGAACAUUGGCCACUUACUCUCUUGCUGAUGUUUCUCAAGUGUUUCUGUUUUUGAGGGAAAACAUAGUCACUCCUCAGCUAGUCUUUAAAGCAAAGGCUGAUCUAUACCUGGCCAGCAGAGUCACUAGGAAGGGAUGGAAUUCCAUUUUGUGUUCAUCUGGAAUUUUCUCUUUGGUUCAAUCUUGACAAGAAGCCAAGAUGGCUUCUUGCUUUGGUUUUGAGGUCUCUGAGGGCAGGCAAUUGCAUAGGAGCAUAAGAGCAAUUUGCCAUGACUCACCUCCUUUUUUGUUGUCACUGAUGAUUGCACAAAAAGUAAACAGUUUUCCUACAGUGCUCAAUAGCCUCAAAUGUGCCAGGGCAAGGACCGCUUUUCAAGAAAAUGAAAUAAAACAUAUGGAAGAAAACUAGGAACUCUUGUCAGAAUUAUUCCACUGUGAAAUUAGUUACAUUCCACAAGAAAAUAUAAUCAUGCCAGGGGUUUCUUUCUUCAGUGACUCUCACAUAAACUGCAGCAGGGAAAAAACCUGGUGUUCAGCAUCAUAAGCUGUCAGUGCCAUUGGCUACCAAAACCCAUUCAUAUUUGAUUAUUUUCAGUCCACUGCAAUUUCUAUACAGCCCUGGUGUAUAUUUCCUUGGUUCAUUGAAUAAAACAUUCGCAUCCGUCUGUGAUCGUAUUGCCGUUGUCCCUGUUAUAAUUAACACAGCAACAGAUUAAAAAAAUACAACUUAAAAUAAGUGGUGUAAAAUUCACUUCCAAACAGAAUACACAUAAAAAAAGAUUAUCCAACAGAGAGCUGCCAAAGUACUGUAAACUGGAAGAGUUUCAACAUCCUUUAAACACUCGGCUAGAAGCUAACUGAACCACAUCUCUGCUGUCAACAGAGCAUGAAACUCCAAGACUUCUGCAGUUUCCAUCUAGUCUCUGCCAGAUAAAACUAAAGACUUCCAUGGGGUGAAUACAUAUUUUUAAUUUUAAUGGCAUUGUCCAUUUCUUUUUGGUAAUCAGUGUGUGUCCUUCUUGAGAAUGUCCACGUGGUUUAUGAAUGUGACAUUCUGAAAACUGCUAUAGUCUGCCCCAACUUGUGUUAUCAUUCUCUUCUCCACAAAGCCCUUCUUGGAUGCAUAAAGUUGUGACUGUUAUGCUGUGAAGGACACUUAGUAGGUCUCAUCAUUUUUCCUAGAAUGUGUGAUAGAAAACACAAACACAUGCAUGUGUGUGUGUGUGUGCGCUCUCACACACACACACACUUACACACAGUAGCUAAAGAGGAAGCUGAAUGUCACAGUAAAUCCUACUCAAAAUUCUCCAUUGAAAAUCUAUUUCUUAUCAACUCAAAUUUUCAGGAUCUGGCCGUAAAAGGCCUAUACAGUGUAAGCCUAGAUUAUCUUUCCAGUCUGUUUUUACCAGUCUCCUAAAUGUGUCUCAUAUUCCUAGCAAACCAGACUAUAUGGUCCCUGUGUCACCUGGGCUUUCCUACUGUCUGAUCCUGCCCUCUGGAUAGCAGAGCAUCAGGGCUAGUCUGGAGUAUGUAACACCACUAGUCUGGAGUAUGGGGUGUUAGAUGUUUGGCUCAGGGAGAAGACAGGCAGGGAAGUGGAGGAGAGGUGCCCCUUGAAGUCAGUGGAUAGCAGUUGGGGCUGAGGCGGGUGAUCUGUAUCAGAGCAUCUCUCAGAUUGCUGAUGAGAAAAGUGGUGCACCCCAUAGGAAGAAUCUGACCAUUUGAAUGCUGCGGAAAUAAAAUUUCUGUAACAAAACCAGGAAGACAGAUAGGGCAGGAGACAUGUUUCAUGAGGUAAGGUCUGAGGUGUGGUCUGAGGUUGUGAGAUAAAUGACUUUUCCUAGAGGGACUGCUUCUCUGGUGACUGAAAAAAAGUUCUCAAGGAUAUGAAAGGAAAUGAAUGCCACCUGGGUGCUUAUAAUCAUGACAUUCUUCAUGCAUUGAAUACCUUCCUCUUCCCUGUCAAAUUGUAUCAAUUCUUCCAGGUCAAAUGUCAACUCUUCCAUGAAGCCUUUUUCUAUCCCUUCAAAAAAGGCCAUCCUAAUCUUCUGCAUACUAUCAUUGUUAGAACUUCUGGAAGGCCUUCCUUACUGUGUGUAUUACAGUCUGGUUUAUUUGUCUCAUGAUUUUGCUACAUUAUAUGCAAUGUAAAUUAUAGAUUUGCUCUGAAUCAUUGUAGCAACUAUGAGCCAUGUCACAUAACUGUUACUCAACAAAUAUUGUUAACAUCAUUUAAACUAACAUCUGCAGGGAAAUCAAAUAUUUACAUGAUCUAUGGAACAAUAAAAUGGUAUCAAAGUCCAAAUAUAUCCAUGGACCCUCUCACAGUUGGCCAAUAUUGUUGGCAUUCCUUCAAUAUGGUUUAUAGAGAUAAGAAGAUUUGUUCAGCUUAUAUUGAAUAUUGACUUACAAUUUCCCAUGGACCUAAAUUUUUUCAGUUGUUUGGCAUAACCAGGAGACCAUCUCAUUCCACCUAAAAGUCUGAUACCAAAAUAAUUUGGCUUGUGCAAUGAUUAAAAUGUAGUUUGUUUCCAUAUUUAAUUUAGCUAUUUUUUAAUUUUGUUAAGUACAUCAUUUUGUAAGCAUAUACUGGAAAUAUGUAUUUCUUAUAAGAUUACUAUUGGAUACACAGAAAAUACUUCAGUAUCAGGAAUAAAAUUCUUGAAUGUUCUCCAUGUUAGCUGCUAGGAAAAUUGAGGUUAAAUUUUCAGCCACGACUAUUGGACAUUAUGAAAAGCAUUGUAUGAUUAAAUAUUACCCUGUUAGGGUCUGUAAACAAGUCAGGAUGGCGCCUGGCAUUUUGCCAGAGGGAGUGGUUUGUGAAGUAACGCCAGUGAGCCAUUAAGUGUGGAGAUUCCUUAUUGGUUGACUGCUGUAUCUAGUUUAUGUUAAUUAAGAUAAGCUGUGUGGAAUGUAUAUAUACCCCUCCUGUCCUACAAUAAACGGCUGCCACUCCUUCUGUAUCAAUCUACACAAGUUCCUCGUCACCCCCCCCCCCCCCCCCCCCGGUUAUUUUGCUGCAGCCGGACUGCGGCAUUACCCCUUACUUUUUUUAAAAUUUUUUCUACUUAUUUUCUCUUUCUCCAAUUUCUUACUUUAAAUAUGUUCAACAAUGCACAGUAUAAAUAACACAGAAAAUUAAAAUGGUCUAUAUUGACUUAUCCUCCAUUAUCUUAAAGUCAAAUAUGUUAUAUGUGUGUGAUAUUAUUAAAUGACAAAGAAAUGACCAUUUGUGAGACAUUUUCUUGAAAGCAAAAUGAUUUUGAAACUAGCCUCAGAAAAGAUCUAUCAAUCAGACAAGACAUUUAUUCACUUUUGGCCCUUAUUUUCUCCUCUGAAAGGUAAGAUAAAUAAAACUCUCACCUGCCCAUCUGCCUCAUUUUUAUAAUUCCACAUAAAACAUAAAGAUAAGAAAGCUUGGCUUUCAAAAUAUCUUUUAUUAUUUACAGAGCAGGAAGAUUGUUAAAAAUGCAGAGUGCUCAUAUUCAUUAAGGAUGUCGCUCUCCAAGGCUGCAGAAAUGCAUCAAGAAAAUAAACCAUAAAUGGGACCCAGUGUUAACCAUUUAUCUCUCCAAAGAACCUCCUUGAGCACUGCACUUUAAAAAUAUAUAUAGUAUUUUUCACUCACAUAAAAUGAAAGUUUAGAAUUUGAAGCUGAAUAACACCAAAGUCAUCAUAAAGGGGAUGCAUAUCUGUCCUCAUAUAAUUUAGUGUUCAUUUCAGCUAAAUGUCAUAGAGGAGAAGAGAGAACAACUCUGAUUUCCCUCAGGUCUGAGCACCCAUUUCACUGAACAUAGAGAACUUAGUAAUGGUCAUGGAAGAGACUAAAAGGUGAUAAAAUGAUGGGGACAUAUAAACUUGUGAGAAAAAAAUGUUCACGGAAAUUGAGUCAUUUGUCAUAAAGAAAUGAAAGAAGAACAGGCAUGAUGAAUGUCUGAUGACAGAGAUUCUAGCCAACCAGCUCCCAGUGUGUGGAAUGAAAACACAAAUCAGCUAAAAGAGAAUGGGAUGGAAAUAUGAACCCCCAAUUUUAUCAUUAUCUCCUUAGUUGUGAGGCAAAGACAGCGAUUCGUUGAUCUCACAUGUCAAAUUCACAUUGUGUUAUACAAUCAUAAUUUUAAAAAUUCUGUUUAUUUUUAAAUUGAUAAAGAAUUAUUCUGUAUGUUUAUGGAUUACAACAUGCAUAUAUGAAAUAAGCAAACAUUAGCGGUGAAAGAUAAUGUUGCUGAUGUUUAAAUACUUAGCAUCUUAACACUUAGGUUAACAUUCCUGAGAAACAAAAAGUUGAAUAAGCCAUAGUAUCUGUUCUUGAGAUUCUCAAAAUCUAGUAGCAAAUUCAAAACACUUGUGACCUAAUAUGAUGAGUUCCAUAAUGAAUAAAGAAUUGGAUGUUAUGAUAGGACUCAACAAACAUAUCACCCCAAAGUAUGACUACAGGACACAACAGUGCCGGGAAUCAACCAUGAACUCUGUGUGAACUGAAAUCGUCCAGGAAGCCAUUAGGUAGGACUGUCUGAUGUCAGGAACUCCCAGGGCAACCCUGCAGGUUUGAGAAUGCCCAAUCCAUGUGACUUCCUACUUAGUUCCCUCUAAGUUCAGCACUGCACCUGAGAUGGGGGGACCCGCUGGAACCACAGUCACACAGCCACUUGCAGAUGGAUGUGGCUUGCUGAGAUGACAAUCAACCUCUUUGCUGUAAGACCCCUGCCACAAGGAGAAGCAAGCACCUAAACUCUUCCUCUGAAGCCUUAUCCUUGCCUUUGAUGAACUCCCCCUUAAAUAAAGAACCAGAGCCAUUUUGGGUUUUUCAGUUCCCUGGUCUAAUUUCUGGCUCUGUCCUCAUGUUCCUUUGUAUUUCCAUAUCUUUCAUAUUCUUUGUGUGUUAUGAGGUACAUGCUCACACCCCUGUAUAUAUACACACAGAUGUAUAUAUUUGUUUUUUUAAUCUGCAUAUUUUUAUUUAUAAUGAGAACAUGCCAAAAAUUAAUAUUUUAAUUAAAUAGAAGCAUUAAAAGGCUUAUGUGAAAUGUGAAAUCUGACAAACACAAGGUCUCUCUCCUUUCUGGCAUCUAUAGGCCUGUCCAUGCGGCUGUUUAAGAGCUGGUUAUUUAAGGGUGGAAGUGAGCCAAUGUUCUGCUGACUCAGAAGAAGGCGCUUGCUGUGUGGGCAGAGUACAUGGAAGCUAUUUGUGGAGGGAAGAGUAUGUCACCUAAAUUAAUGUGGGAGACUCACCUCAUAAGUCAUCCCCACCAUUCUGCUCCGCCACCCCGCUGCAAAGUGUAGGGGUCAAUAUUCUACUCAUUUAGAACAUACAGGGCCUAUUCAUCUACGAUGGGGUCGGUCUCUCCCUUCAUGGGGCCAGGAUACAAUAUGACUCAGGAUAAAAACUUAUUUAAGAAACCGGUAUUCAAGACAGCCAUUAAACUUGAACACAUAUUUCAAAGUCCUGUGUAUCAUCCUCUGCUGUUGAAUGCCAUGAACUGGCCUAGUACGCGGACCAGGGAGUCAGCCACAGACUCAGAUUUGAGCACUGUUAAAUAGGCCUCUUAUCCCAACACAAUAAAUUGUUUCUUUCCUUAUGUGUGCAUUUAAAAUUCUGAUUUUUUCCCCAAAACUCCUUCCAAAAAAUGAUACUUGUCUUCUCAAUAAGAUUUAAGAAGAAAGUGAGGGCACCGGUAGAGAAUGUCAGGGAGAUAAGGAGAUACUGGACAUGUCAAAGUGGUCAACAUUUCAUUUCUGAUUCUCUUUAUGCAAAGGUAAUAAUAUUGCAUGUACCUAGAGUAAGGAGUAAAGAACUAUUUCAGAAUAUUUUCAUCGGUAACUAAUUCAUAGGAAUUAUGACUGGUCAUAAAAAGAAAAUGAAUGAACAGAUGAACUUUUCCUGUCCCUGUAGGUUAAUUUCCAACUGUAAAAGUAAGCAUAUUCUGGGUAUUACUCUGUUUCUAUAGUAACACAGUGUUGUACUUCAGUUUUCUUGCCCAAGAAAUCAGCUCAUCCAGUGGUUCCAUCUGGUGCUCUUGAUUCCACUGAAAAGCCAGUGAGCCAUGUGAGUAACAGUGGACCACUCUGAUACCUUCAUUUUUUUUUCACUCUUUGGGUUUUCAAUUUUCUUACUUGAGUUCAUUUGGAUCUUGCUAAAUAUUAAAUUUAAAUAUCAACUAAAUAGUUACUGCAUAACAACCUUUCAGUCAAGGCUGGACUGAAUAUAUAACAGUGGUCCCAUAAGAUUAUAAGGGAGAUGAAAAAUUCCCAUUACCUGGUGACAUAUCCAUCGUAAUGUAGAAACCCAUGACUCGUGUUUGCGGAGAUGCUGGCAUAAACAAACCCAGGAUGCUACCAGUCAUAAAAACAAUAGCAUGUACAAUUACGUACAGCACAUAAUACUUGAUUCUGGUUUGCAUGUUUACCAUACUAUUUAUUGUUAUUAUAGAGUGAACUCCUUCUACUUAUUAAUAAAAUAAUAAUAAUAAUAAGCAAUAAAAUGGUGACAGGUCCUUCAGGAGGGAUUCCAAAAGAGGUGGCAACCUCAUGCACACUACUGCCCUGAGGACCUUCCAGCAGGCAAGGCAUGCAUGGAGGUACAAGAUGGUGACACUAAUGAUCCUGACCCUGUGUAGGCAUGGGCUACCAUGUGUUUGUGUCUUCGUUUUUAACAACAACAACAACAAAAAUGUCUAAAAAGUAAAACAUUUUGGAAAAUUAAAAAUUCACAAAAUAGAAAAACUAAAGAAUAAAGAUAUAAAGAAAAUAUCUUGUAUCGCUGUACAAUUUGUGUUUCAAGUUAAAUGUUAUAAGAGUCAGAGAAUUAAAAAGAAAGUCUAAAAGUUUUAUAAACUAAAAAGUUACCAUAGUCUAAGGUUCAUUUAUCAUUGAAAAAAAUGGCUUUUGGUCAAUUUAGUGUCACCAAAGUGUUUAUAAGUUCCAUAGUAGUGUACAGUCAUGUCCUCGGACUUCACAUUCACAUACCACUCACUCAACUUCCAAUCUUGCAACUUACAUUCAUGGUAAGUGUCCUAAACAGGAGUACCAUUGUUUACCUUUUAUGUAGUACUUUUGGUGUACCCAUUCUGUUUAGAUAUGUUCAGAUGCACACAUUCUAAGCACUGUGUUACAAUUGCUUACAUUAUUCAGCAUGGCAACCUGCUAUACAAGUUUGCAGCCUAGAUGCAACGGGCUUUCUGUACAGAAGAGGUGUGGAGGAGGCUGCAACAUGGAGCUUGGGAUAAGUAUACUCUGUGAUGCUUACACAGCCAUGUACUCACCUAAUGACACAUCACAUAGGACAUGUCUCCAUCCUUAAGCAACGUGAUUGUAUCUUUUGUUGGUUAAAAUUGUUGAGAAUUAUAAAAUCUGGGAAGAUGGCAGAAAAAAGCAAGAAGCUGGAGUAAUAUUCCCAACUGGAGCAAUAAAGCUACAUCACCUGGGUUGACCAUUUCCUCAUGCCCCACAGAGGUCCAUGCACAUUCAACCUCUUCUGCUAAAGGCUUUGUUUCAAAAAAAAAAAAAAAAAAAAAACAGAAAAAAAAAACUAUGUACUUCUCUAAUAACCUUCUUUAAUUUUUAAAUACUUAUUGAGCUCUAAUUAUGCAUGAAGCACUGUGACAGAUUUUUUAUUACCAAAUUAUUAAAAGAACCUAAUUCAUGUUUUUAAGGAGGUUAGAUCUGCUAUGAAAUUAACUCACCAUGAAAGCAAUACAGUUGAAUGAAAACUGCUAUAACUUAUAGCAGAUUAUAAGUGCAACAGAAGAGACAAGUGUGUCUAGAAAGGUGUGAGAUGGAAGGGUUAAGUAGCAGAAGAAAUAGGGAAGCCUGCACAAAGGAGGUGGCACUGGAGAGAAAUCUUAAAAAUUAUGAUCGGACCCACUUCUGAGUAUAUCACCAAAGGAGCUGAAACGGGUAUGUCAAAGAGUCGUCUGUGUUUCCAUGUUUAUUGUUCACAAUAGCCAAGAUAUGUAAGCAACCUAAGUUUCCAUCAAUAGAUGGAUGGAUAAAGAAAAGGUGGUGUAUAUACUCAAUGGAAUUCUGUUCAGUCUUUCAACUCAGUUGUCAAUCGGAGAUUCAGUCAUUUGCAACAAUAGAGAUGGACAUGGAGAACGCUAUGCAAUGUGAAAUAAGACAGGCACAAAAAGAUAAAUGUUACGUGAUCUCAUUUCCCAUAUGGUGUCUAAAGACGUCAGUCUUGUAGAAACAGAGGGUAGAAAGGAGGCUCCCAGAGACUGGGGUGUGGAGAGCAAUGGGAAAGGAGAGAUUUGACCAAGUUAGAUGAUAAAAUACACUUUAGUGAUCUCUUCGACUGCAUGUUGACCAUAGUUAGUAAAUAAUGUGUAGUAUAUUUUGAAACUGUGAAAAGAAUAGACUUCUAAUGUUCUCACUAUAAAAAGUAAAUGAUAGGUUGGUGAGAUGAUGGGUAUGGUAUUUGAUCUUUAUGUUAUUUAAUCUUUCUAUGGUAUAUACAUGGAUCAAAAUAUAUGCAUGUUGUAAUCCAUAAACAUACAGAAUAAUUCUUUAUCAAUUUUAAAAUAAACAGAAUUUUUAAAAUUAUGAUUGUAAAAUACAAUGUGAAUUUGACAUGUGAGAUCAGCGAAUUGCUGUCUUUGCCUCACAACUAAGGGGAUAAUGAUAAAAUUGGGGGUUCAUAUUUCCAUCCCAUUCUCUUUUAGCUGAUUUGUGUUUUCAUUCCACACACUGGGAGGGGUUGGCUAGAAUCUCUGUCAUCAGACAUUCAUCAUGCCUGUUCUUCUUUCAUUUCUUUAUGACAAAUGACUCAAUUUCUGUGAACAUUUUUUCUCACAAGUUUAUAUGUCCCCAUCACUUUAUCACCUUUUAGUCUCUUCCAUGACCAUUACUAAGUUCUCUAAGUUCAGUGAAAUGGGUGCUCAGACCUGAGGGAAAUCAGAGUUGUUCUCUCUUCUCCUCUAUGACAUCUAGCUGAAAUGAACAUUAAGAAAAUUUAUGAGACAAGUAAGCACAGUGGACCUCACAAGGCCACCUGAAAAGACCAAGAGUAACCCUGUUUCUUCAUCUUGUUGAGAAAAUGCUGCCAUUAAUGAAGGAGUUGGGACAGGGAUCUCUCCUACAUUCUGUCCCUGGUGGCUUGUACAAAUGAUCCAAUUUCUCCCAGAAAUUCUGAGAAUGUAUUAUAUGCUGUGUAAGAUAUUAGGCAAUUUGAAGAAGGGAAGUCACCUGGAUUCAGGUUUUACUCACGAGCUUGUCAAUCUUCUCCUUUCAGAUAGAACAGAGGGACUGAUGUAAUUGCCAAGUGGAAACAAGGAUAUGUAGAAGUGGAGGUGCACAGUAAAGAGAAGAGGUGUGUGGAGAUUUUCAGCAACAGGAAAGAGAAGAAAUCAAGCAGAGCACAAAUGUGGCCAUCUAAAGCAGAGAUGCCUCUGUGUGUUCAGCAGACACUCAUUACCCCCUCCCUCUCAGCUCACUCAUUCUUCACUAACCACCUUCUAGGAAUUGACACGGUUACACUUAUGCCCACUCUAUUAACCUUUGCCCAAAUGCACUUUUGCUCUCACUCUUGCUUGACCUGAUAAACAAGAUGGUAGAAUGGCUACUACCUUCCUGGAGCGUGGUCUGCAUCUUCAGAAGCUCAUGGAAAGUAAGUCAUUUCUACCAGUCUCUUCCAGAAAGUCAGGGAAGGCACAGCCCACCAUUCAGAAGAAAGAAAGGCAAUUUUCCUGGGAUUUCAAGAGUAUGAAAGGAAAAACUCCUUAUUGCAGCACUGGCAGUAACUGUACAAACAACAAGUUGUUCUGAAGAUUGAUUACACUCCCAAGUGUUGCUAUGACCAUGAGUCAAUGACAUCAGCAACUUAAUAUUUUACAUGUCAUAACAAAGUACUAGUAAAAAAUGAACAGGACUAACCAACUGGACAAAAUUCAGUUGUAAUGAGUUCAGGUGAUCUUAGAAAUCCCUCAGAAAUGGAAGGCAAAGCAGGUAUUGGGUGGUGUAGAAACCUCAGCAUUCGGAUUUUUAUUAUGACUGCACCAGCAGAAUUUGAUUUUAAAUUGUAAAAUUUUACAAUAGACUUUGGUUUGUAAUGUAUUGCAGUUUAAAGUUUUGUUAUAUGGAAAGCUUAGUCUGCAAUUGCUAUAAUUUUUUCCCCUAUCUGUACGUAGUUUUGAGAAAAAAAAAAUUAUUCCUUCCCUUUCACACUCUUUAUUUUUCUGCCUACUGGAAUAAAUUUGAGCUGAAUGUUUAAUCUGUCCUUUAGUAAGCAUUUUCAAUCAUUACAAAGCUGAUGUGAAGAGAGCUGAAUGUGACAUGAGAAAACAGAAUGGAUCAGUAAAAUUACCUAAGUCUUACAUCAUGCUAAAACAGAGAGGUGGUCUCUCUUCCUUUGUGCCUUUCUUCAUAUAUGAUGCCCAAUGUCAUAUAUGGCAUAUAAUACAUUCUUGGGGUUUCUGGGGGAAAUUGGGUAAAGAUGAACAUUCUUAUAUUGGAAGGAUGUGGUAAAUCAUAUUUGUCACCUUCCUCUUACAGCAUGGUCUCUAGGGGAGCAAGAAGCCAUCCAGUCUCCCGGGACUAAGCUUUGGAAAGUAGAUUUGCUAAGGUAGAUGUCAAUGAGGCCAGUUGCAGGAUCAAAGCAUUUUAAAGGGAGACUCGUGCAGCGGUUUAAGUCAAAAUGUUUCUUCAAGGAGGAAUAAAGUAGAGCAGAAAAACACUGAGAGUGAGAUGGAAUAGAAUGUUCUUAUGUCACAUUGUGUCACAUAAUUGUGUGUACACUGGAUGAACCUUGCAAACUUUCUAGGUCUCAAUUUACUCAUCCAUAGAAUGAAAUGGGUUGAACCCCAAAACUUUCUGUGUGUGUCAGCCUGAAUUUUAUUGACUAGUCCAUUGCCUUUAAUCUAGUAAACCCAUAAAUGUGAG